UACGUAGGGCGCAAGCGUUGUCCGGAAUUAUUGGGCGUAAAGAGCUCGUAGGCGGCCAGUUGCGUCUGCUGUGAAAUCCCGGGGCUCAACCCCGGGCGUGCAGUGGAUACGGGCUGGCUAGAGGCAGGCAGGGGAGAACGGAAUUCCCGGUGUAGCGGUGAAAUGCGCAGAUAUCAGGAGGAACACCGGUGGCGAAGGCGGGUCUCUGGGCAGUAACUGACGCUGAGGAGCGAAAGCGUGGGGAGCGAACAGG
RNAcentral lists this ribosomal RNA (253 nucleotides) under uncultured bacterium. Its description in RNAcentral is "partial 16S ribosomal RNA". It matches the Rfam family "Bacterial small subunit ribosomal RNA", at positions 524 to 776 of the family's 1533-position model. The record is from RNAcentral.